AGAGGAGAGGAGAGGAGAGGAGAGGAGAGGAGAGGGGCUCAGUAUCUGUAGACUUCACUCUGCAAUCAACCUGUCUGUAUACAGGGGGGUUUAGAAUAAAAAUAACAGCAUUCUUUCUCUUGGAAUGAAGACAGGCUGAGGGAUUUGGGACUGCUCAACCUGGAGAAGAAAAGGCUCUGGGGAGAUCUUAGAGCCCCUUACAGUACCUAAAAGGCCUACAAGGGAGAUGGAGAGGGACUUUGGGCAAGGGCAUGGAGUGACAAGGGGGAAUGGCCACUGGAGGAGGGUGGGUUUAAGUUAGAUAUAAGAAAUAAAUUCUUUGCUGAGAGGGUGACAAGGCACUGCCAUGGGUUGCCCAGAGAGGUUAUGGACUCCCCACCCCUGGAGGUGUUCAAGACCAGGCUGGACAAGGCUUGGAACAGCCUGGGAUGGUGGAAGGUGUCCCUGCCCAUGGCAGGGGGUUGGAACUGGAUCAUCUUCAAGGUCCCUUCUGACCCAAACCAUUCUGUGUUUCUAUGAUUCUCUACCCUGAGAGGCUGCCAUGGCUCUGAAGCUCUAGGCUUCAGUCUUGCAAAUACAGUAAUUGAAUUGCAGACCAGUUAAAAUUACUGAGACAGACAAACCGUGGGCUGCUAAAUCCGCAGCAAUGAAGCCAGGAACAGCCCUGCUCAUUUCUGUGGACAACCACAACCAUUUCCCUUGCUUUCCUACAGCAAGAAGCUGUGUUGAUCCCACACGUAUCCAACACGCAGAUUCAUCUCAUGCUGCUUUAGACAUCCGAGCACAGCUCCCACGGCAAGAGUCCAGCUGCCCUGGGCUCCCUCUGGAGCCAAUGGGAACAGACAGGCACCUGGAGCAGGCCACCUUCCAGCCUCUUCCCUCUCAUUCCUUCUCCCUCAGGCAAAGUGUCUCCUCUGUCUAGCAACCUCUGGAGACUUUUUUUGUAUGGCAACAGAAUGGUCCAGGUCACGUCUAUCUACUGACAAAAGGAUAAUCAGUGCUGCUGGCAAAAAUCCUGUUCUUGCAUCUAUUCAUGUCGGUAUGAAAUGCCUGAAAUGUGUUCAGAAUGCCCUUUGCUGCUAAGUCAUUAAGUCGUCUGUAAAGGACAAGGAUUAAAUAAGGUACCAUCAGCUCGACUCGGGAGGGGAAAAAAGGACUGCGUAGGCGAUCUUGGACUAUUUUCAGCAGAGGUUUUGUGCUAGCGUGGGGUGGCUCUGAGGCUCACGAAGGAAAUUUGGGCACGAACGAAGCGUGAAGCCCUCGGCGGGCAGCAGGUGUUUGUCCUCAGCGCCCGCGGGCAGCGCGGCUCCGGCCCGAGCGCGGGCUGCCAGGAAGAGCUGCCCGCCUUGCUGAGCUUGGAUAAACAUUAGGAUCUAAUUUAUCAUGUGACAGGAAAGGAAACCUUCCUCCCCCCCACCCCGUUUUUAACAGCCUUUGUUUGAAUUUCAGUGUGUGGUUUUUGAGGUGUAAAGAGUGGAGAGAGAUUUAACCUGGGUCUCUGGACUGAUUGCUUUGCUGUCAGCUGAUGCAUGUGCGGCUCUUUGCAGACACAUCCACAAGUGUUACAUCUCAGUAAAUGACAUGGACAGGGAGCCAGACCUCUUGCUGAACUUACAAAAGAGACAUCACACUCAUUUAAUUAAAAAGAUCUGAGCUGCUGGUGCUCUUCAUGUCGGAUGGUAUGUCCUGGGUUACAUGCCCAGGAGAAAGAAGAAAAAGAAACUGUUUUCCUUGUACUACAAAGUAAAUAGGACUGAGAAAUAUUUUGGUAUUUGCAGAGCCUGGGAUUUCUGACUUUAUCAUUCCAUGUGUAUUUCGUGCACGGAGCAUUAUGCAAAGAUCUGGUUAUUCACUUUUUUCUCUAGAAUUUCAAGUCCUGGCCUUCCCCACUGAUCUGGUAGCAGCUUUGGUGGACUGCACAUGGGAGUAACAAUCAGCUUUAAAGUCAGGCCUUUCAAAUAUUUUUGGGGCACCUAAGAAACUCUGCUGUGUCCACAGUCUGGGCUCGGUGUGGCAUUCACAGUGUGGUGCCUAAGGAAGGUAUUUGCAGUAUGACACACGGGAGGCAUAUUCCUUAGCUAGGAUAUUCUGGACGUAGGUUCCCUCCUGGACUAAGCCAUCCUUUUGGGCAUGAAUAAAUGUUUACCUGGUUCUUUACAGUG
Long non-coding RNA from Passer domesticus (house sparrow), 2162 nucleotides. RefSeq lists it as uncharacterized. The transcript has 2 exons. The record is from RefSeq and is a predicted model, not a curated record. Lineage: Eukaryota; Metazoa; Chordata; Aves; Passeriformes; Passeridae.